This 963-nucleotide unclassified non-coding RNA is filed under the name Zea mays. RNAcentral's name for it is "misc RNA Zm00001eb182510". Lineage: Eukaryota; Viridiplantae; Streptophyta; Magnoliopsida; Poales; Poaceae. The record is from RNAcentral.
CUCCUUGAUAUUUUCCAAAAGCAAUCUUAUCCCUGGGGAAGAAAUCACGUACAUCUCCAUCUCUCAGCCAUCUCAUUUCUUCUCCGUUCCUGAUGACACUAGAGGGAUUAGUCCGCACAUCAGUGCUUGGAUCUUGCUAGCAGCCGAGCUACUUCUCCAGCAUCAAUGUUUGAAACCGUCAUAUCUGCAAUUUCCGGUCGUCGACCUCGCCCUGCUGCUUAUCCCGUCGCCAGCUGUACUUGUCUUCCUCACCGGUGUGCCCUCUCGGCUCGCUCGGCUUCAAUCUCCAUCGCGCAGCGGCAACUUCCCUUUUCUCUGGUGCCGCGCACGCUGCUGGUCCUUGCGAGUCCACCUUGCUCCGGCCAGUGACACCGGUGCCGGCUCGCUAAUGCUUGCGCGCGUCUGUCCACGUCGCCAGCAGCUCGGUCUCUACGUGUCUCCCUCAGCAUCUCGGCAUCGGAACUCCAUCAUGUCUGUAUGUGUGUGGAAGAACGAGAUCGAGGGAUCGGAGAAGAAAGCGAAGCCCAUGUGGUUUGUGCGUUCGUUUGGCUUGGAAUUGGAACUGUGGAUAUUGGAGAAGAAAUUCCGAGAAAUUAGUGGACGGUGAUGGUAAUGUUCGUGCGAUACUCAUCUGAUGCUCGACAAAAAGCCCGAAUCGGGAGUGGCUGCUUCGUCUUCUUCGUCGAAUGAGAAUCGUCGUGCUGGCCACGCGUCACCAGCUCGAUAAAAUAAAUCCUAUGGGUAUCUGGUUAAGGAUAGAAAUUGUGUGCAUCGCUCGCCAGACGUGUGUGGUCAUGGGCGUCAAGCGAAAACCAUCUUCGUUUUUCCGACUAUCGUGUCGGAUUGGUCAGGGUACGCUAGCUGAGAAUCGUGCAAAGCAAAGUUCAUAGCUCAAAACAACCCACAAGACGAUGUCGUCAGUCGGAUCAACCCGAAGAAGGGCAGACUGAACAAGUAUCGGAA